Molecule: unclassified non-coding RNA, 232 nt
Filed under: Hevea brasiliensis (rubber tree)
Lineage: Eukaryota; Viridiplantae; Streptophyta; Magnoliopsida; Malpighiales; Euphorbiaceae
Source: RNAcentral
GAGAGAGAGAGAGAGAGAUGUAUGUAUCAUUUUAACUUGUUAUAGGUGGUUAUUUGUCUCCAUGUUUGUGUUGUAAUUGUGUGAUAUUUUUUGUGACUAAUCUUCCACCUUGCUAAUUUUGGACUUGGCCCAUACCAUUUUUAGUUACUGGGUUGUUUUAAUUAUUGACCAAUUGAGAAGUUUGUUGGACUAAAAGCUGUGAAUUCUAUUAAAAAAAUUGAUUGAAUUGAAU